GAGUCCUACGGGGGGCAGCAGUGGGGAAUAUUGGGCAAUGGGCGCAAGCCUGACCCAGCAACGCCGCGUGAAGGAAGAAGGCUUUCGGGUUGUAAACUUCUUUUAAGAGGGAAGAGUAGGAGACGGUACCUCUUGAAUAAGCCACGGCUAACUACGUGCCAGCAGCCGCGGUAAUACGUAGGUGGCAAGCGUUGUCCGGAUUUACUGGGUGUAGAGGGCGUGUAGCCGGGUUGACAAGUCAGAUGUGAAAUCCUGCGGCUUAACCGCAGAACUGCAUUUGAAGCUGUUGAUCUUGAGUACUGGAG
This 305-nucleotide ribosomal RNA is filed under the name uncultured bacterium. RNAcentral's name for it is "bacterial SSU rRNA". It matches the Rfam family "Bacterial small subunit ribosomal RNA", at positions 334 to 654 of the family's 1533-position model. The record is from RNAcentral.